This 16-nucleotide small RNA is filed under the name Arabidopsis thaliana (thale cress). RNAcentral describes it as "ATSL247770". Lineage: Eukaryota; Viridiplantae; Streptophyta; Magnoliopsida; Brassicales; Brassicaceae. The record is from RNAcentral.
AAAAUGGAUGGCGCUC